RNAcentral lists this ribosomal RNA (253 nucleotides) under uncultured bacterium. Its description in RNAcentral is "partial 16S ribosomal RNA". It matches the Rfam family "Bacterial small subunit ribosomal RNA", at positions 524 to 776 of the family's 1533-position model. The record is from RNAcentral.
UACAGAGGUCCCAAGCGUUGUUCGGAUUCACUGGGCGUAAAGGGUGCGUAGGCGGUGAGGCAAGUCUGAUGUGAAAGCUCGGAGCUUAACUCCGAAAUGGCAUUGGAAACUGCUUCGCUAGAGGAUCGGAGGGGAGACUGGAAUACUUGGUGUAGCAGUGAAAUGCGUAGAUAUCAAGUGGAACACCAGUGGCGAAGGCGAGUCUCUGGACGAUUCCUGACGCUGAGGCACGAAAGCCAGGGGAGCAAACGGG